Molecule: RNA transcript, 1499 nt
Organism: Rhea pennata
Lineage: Eukaryota; Metazoa; Chordata; Aves; Rheiformes; Rheidae
Gene: RAD51C
Gene name: RAD51 paralog C
Exons: 8
Source: RefSeq, a predicted model, not a curated record
GGCCCGGAUGCUGGCGGCGCCGCCAUGCAGCGCGACGUGGGCAGCCUCCCGCUGGCGCCCGCGCUGCGGGCGCGGCUCGUGGCCGCCGGCUUCCAGACGGCGCAGGAGCUGCUGGAGACCGGCCCCUGCGGGCUGAGCAAAGAAAUUGGAAUCUCCAAAGAAGAGGCUCUAGAAGCAUUACAGGUUGUAAGGCAGGAAUGUCACAGUGAUGCGACACGGACUGCUGCAGCACCUGGCACCUCCAGAAAAUGCACGGCACUGGAGCUGUUGGAACAAGAGCAAGCCCAGGGCUUCAUCAUCACCUUUUGUUCAGCACUAGACAAUGUUCUUGGGGGUGGUGUGCAGCUAACAAAAAUCACUGAGAUCUGUGGAGCACCCGGUGUUGGGAAAACACAGCUAUGUAUGCAGCUGGCAGUAGAUGUACAGAUCCCAGAAUGCUUUGGGGGUCUAGCUGGAGAAGCAGUGUUCAUUGAUACUGAAGGAAGUUUUAUGGUAGACAGAGUAGUGGAUAUUGCAACUGCCUGUGUACAGCAUUGCCAACUUAUUGCUGAAGCUCACCAAGAAGAAGAUCAUCUAAAAGCUUUGGAGUCUUUUUCUCUUGAAAGUAUCCUUUCUCACAUAUAUUACUUCCGUUGCCGUGACUACAUAGAGCUUCUAGCACAGGUCUACCUCCUCCCAGACUUUCUUUCAGAGCAUUCAAAGGUCCGACUGGUGGUAAUUGAUGGAAUUGCAUUUCCCUUUCGCCAUGACUUUGAGGACCUCUCACUUCGCACAAGACUCUUAAAUGGUCUUGCACAACAGCUGAUCAUUGUAGCAAAUGAUCAUAAAGCAGCAGUAGUUCUGACAAAUCAAAUGACAACAAGGAUUGGACAAAGCCAGUCCACACUGGUACCGGCUUUAGGAUCUUAGGUUGUAGAGAUACCUCUAUUCCAGCUGCAGCUGUACCUGCUAAGGAGGCCACUACCCCUGCUGGAGGUCACUGCUCUAAUCUACAUGCUGGCUGAGCUGUUUGUGAUUGUCUCCCAAAACAUUUUUGUUAAAAGUGAGCCUGGCCAGAGAAUGUGGAGCUGGUGGUGUGCUGGAGACCAACAAAUAACUGAGAAGUUAACAGGUUGUGUACAGAUGAAUGAGAGAGGCUUGCAGUACUUAACCAAGCGACUGUUUCAAAAUUCAAUCCAUCUUCUGACUGCUAUAUGUCCCUUGGGAUAAACAGAGGAAAACGCCCAAUAAAGCUGUCUGUAAACCGAAUGAUCUUGUGGCCAGAUGUGAUCUGAAACAUUAGGACUGUUUCCCCUGAAACAGGAUAAUAGCUCAAACUUUCUUCUCUUUUUUUUUGCUUUUUUCCCCCCACUCUCUAUUGGUUGUGUUUUUUCAUUUUGCUGUUAGAAAAGGAAGACUGCUUCAGGGGCCCUUAAUACUUUAAUAAUCACUGACCUUCUCCCAAAGCUUUUAUCCCAAAGGAAGUGAUGUUUGCUCAUAAUUAUGCCUGAGAGACAGAA